UAGGGAAUCUUCGGCAAUGGGGGGAACCCUGACCGAGCAACGCCGCGUGAGUGAAGAAGGUUUUCGGAUCGUAAAGCUCUGUUGUUAAGGAAGAACGAGUGUGAGAAUGGAAAGUUCAUGCUGUGACGGUACUUAACCAGAAAGGGACGGCUAACUACGUGCCAGCAGCCGUGGUAAUACGUAGGUCCCGAGCGUUGUCCGGAUUUAUUGGGCGUAAAGCGAGCGCAGGCGGUUAGAAAAGUCUGAAGUGAAAGGCAGUGGCUCAACCAUUGUAGGCUUUGGAAACUGUUUAACUUGAGUGCAGAAGGGGAGAGUGGAAUUCCAUGUGUAGCGGUGAAAUGCGUAGAUAUAUGGAGGAACACCGGUGGCGAAAGCGGCUCUCUGGUCUGUAACUGACGCUGAGGCUCGAAAGCGUGGGGAGCGAACAGG
Molecule: ribosomal RNA, 429 nt
Filed under: Bacteroidota bacterium
Lineage: Bacteria; Pseudomonadati; Bacteroidota
Description: Bacteroidetes bacterium partial 16S ribosomal RNA
Rfam family: Bacterial small subunit ribosomal RNA
Source: RNAcentral